CGCCAGACUCCUACGGGAGGCAGCAGUCGGGAAUAUUGCGCAAUGGAGGAAACUCUGACGCAGUGACGCCGCGUGCAGGAAGAAGGUUUUCGGAUUGUAAACUGCUUUAGACAGGGAAGAAAAAAGACAGUACCUGUAGAAUAAGCUCCGGCUAACUACGUGCCAGCAGCCGCGGUAAUACGUAGGGGGCAAGCGUUAUCCGGAUUCACUGGGCGUAAAGGGAGCGCAGGCGGCACGGCAAGUCUGGUGUGAAAGCCCGGGGCCCAACCCCGGGACUGCAUUGGAAACUGCCGGGCUGGAGUGCCGGAGGGGCAAGCGGAAUUCCUGGUGUAGCGGUGAAAUGCGCAGAUAUCAGGAAGAACACCGGUGGCGCAGGCGGCUUGCUGGACGGCAACUGACGCUGAGGCUCGAAAGCGUGGGGAGCAAACAGGAUUAGAUACCCCAGUAG
RNAcentral lists this ribosomal RNA (448 nucleotides) under uncultured bacterium. RNAcentral describes it as "bacterial SSU rRNA". It matches the Rfam family "Bacterial small subunit ribosomal RNA", at positions 329 to 793 of the family's 1533-position model. The record is from RNAcentral.